RNAcentral lists this ribosomal RNA (497 nucleotides) under uncultured bacterium. Its description in RNAcentral is "partial 16S ribosomal RNA". It matches the Rfam family "Bacterial small subunit ribosomal RNA", at positions 28 to 507 of the family's 1533-position model. The record is from RNAcentral.
GACGAACGCUGGCGGCGUGCCUAAUACAUGCAAGUCGAGCGCACAGGGGAGGUGCUUGUACCAACGGGGUGAGCAGCGAACGGGUGAGUAACGCGUGGGUAACCUGCCUAUGAGAGGGGGACAACAUCGGGAAACGAAUGCUAAUACCGCAUAAAAUCUUGAAACACAAGGUUUAAGAGUGAAAGAUGCAAUUGCAUCACCCAAAGGUGAGCCCGCGGUGUAUUAGCUAGGUGGUGAAGUAAAGGCCCUCCAAGGGGAUGGUACCUAGCCCGCCUGAGAGGGUGGUCCGCCCCCUUUGGACUGGGACCCGGCCCCAACUCCUUCCGGAGGCAGCCGUAGGGGAUCUUCGGCCAUUGACGAAAGUCUGAACGAGCAACGCCGGGUGAGGGAAGAAGGUUUUCGGAUCCUAAAACCCCGUUGGUAGGGAAGAAAGUUGGUUAGAGUGGACAGCGCAUCUAGUGACGGUAACUACUCAGAAAGAGACGGCUAACUACGUG